CUCGGAUCAGGUAGGGAUACCCGCUGAACUUAAGCAUAUCAAUAAGCG
RNAcentral lists this ribosomal RNA (48 nucleotides) under Aspergillus tamarii. Its description in RNAcentral is "partial 28S ribosomal RNA". Lineage: Eukaryota; Fungi; Ascomycota; Eurotiomycetes; Eurotiales; Aspergillaceae. The record is from RNAcentral.